Molecule: ribosomal RNA, 253 nt
Filed under: uncultured bacterium
Lineage: Bacteria
Description: partial 16S ribosomal RNA
Rfam family: Bacterial small subunit ribosomal RNA
Source: RNAcentral
UACGUAGGGUGCGAGCGUUAUCCGGAAUUAUUGGGCGUAAAGGGCUCGUAGGCGGUUUGUCGCGUCGGGAGUGAAAAUCCAGGGCUUAACUCUGGACUGGCUUCCGAUACGGGCAGACUAGAGGUAUGCAGGGGAGAACGGAAUUCCUGGUGUAGCGGUGAAAUGCGCAGAUAUCAGGAGGAACACCGGUGGCGAAGGCGGUUCUCUGGGCAUUACCUGACGCUGAGGAGCGAAAGUGCGGGGAGCGAACAGG